UACGGGGGGGGCAAGCGUUGUUCGGAAUUACUGGGCGUAAAGGGCUCGUAGGCGGCCAACUAAGUCAGACGUGAAAUCCCUCGGCUUAACCGGGGAACUGCGUCUGAUACUGGAUGGCUUGAGUUUGGGAGAGGGAUGCGGAAUUCCUGGUGUAGCGGUGAAAUGCGCAGAUAUCAGGAAGAACACCCGUGGCGAAAGCGGCUCUCUGGAACGGUACUGACGCUGAGACGCGAAAGCGUGGGGAGCGAACAGG
Molecule: ribosomal RNA, 253 nt
Filed under: uncultured bacterium
Lineage: Bacteria
Description: partial 16S ribosomal RNA
Rfam family: Bacterial small subunit ribosomal RNA
Source: RNAcentral